This 584-nucleotide ribosomal RNA is filed under the name Harengula jaguana (scaled sardine). RNAcentral's name for it is "partial 12S ribosomal RNA". It matches the Rfam family "Bacterial small subunit ribosomal RNA", at positions 556 to 1414 of the family's 1533-position model. The record is from RNAcentral. Lineage: Eukaryota; Metazoa; Chordata; Actinopteri; Clupeiformes; Clupeidae.
CGGCGUAAAGAGUGGUUAUGGGUUAAAUUUAAACUAGAGCUAAAGACCAUCCAAGCCGUUAUACGCAUACGAUGGUUCGAACCACUUCGACGAAAGUAGCUUUACCCUCUCCAACCAGAAUCCACGACAGCUGGGAAACAAACUGGGAUUAGAUACCCCACUAUGCCCCGCCGUAAACUUAGAUGUCAGACUACAAUAGACAUCCGCCUGGGGACUACGAGCGCCAGCUUAAAACCCAAAGGACUUGGCGGUGCUUCAGACCCCCCUAGAGGAGCCUGUUCUAGAACCGAUAACCCCCGUUCAACCUCACUAUUUCUUGCCCCUCCCGCCUAUAUACCGCCGUCGCCAGCUUACCCUGUGAAGGAGAAAAAGUAAGCAGGAUGGGCAUAGCCCAGAACGUCAGGUCGAGGUGUAGCGUAUGAAAUAGGAAGAAAUGGGCUACAUUAUCUGAGCCAGAUGACUACGGAGAGUCGCCUGAAACCUGGCGAUUCGAAGGUGGAUUUAGCAGUAAGGGGAGAAUAGAGCGCCCCCCUGAAGCCGGCUCUGAAGCGCGCACAUACCGCCCGUCACUCUCCCCAACAGCA